CCUACGGGUGGCAGCAGUGAGGAAUAUUGGUCAAUGGACGAGAGUCUGAACCAGCCAAGUAGCGUGAAGGAUGACUGCCCUAUGGGUUGUAAACUUCUUUUAUAAAGGAAUAAAACGAGGCACGUGUGCCUUUUUGCAUGUACUUUAUGAAUAAGGAUCGGCUAACUCCGUGCCAGCAGCCGCGGUAAUACGGAGGAUCCGAGCGUUAUCCGGAUUUAUUGGGGUGAAAGGGAGCGUAGAGGGGUUGUUAAGUCAGUUGUGAAAGUUUGCGGCUCAACCGUAAAAUUGCAAUUGAUACUGGCAGUCUUGCGUACAGUUGAGGUAGGCGGACUUCGUGGUGUAGCGGUGACAUGCUUAGAUCUCAC
RNAcentral lists this ribosomal RNA (365 nucleotides) under uncultured bacterium. RNAcentral's name for it is "partial 16S ribosomal RNA". It matches the Rfam family "Bacterial small subunit ribosomal RNA", at positions 338 to 700 of the family's 1533-position model. The record is from RNAcentral.